UGUUUUAAACUUAAUUUUUAAGCUAAUAUUAACUAAAUUAAUUUUUUUAAUAAUUUAUUUUUAACUUAUCGGUGUUAAAAUAAAAUGAGCAAACUUAAUUUUUUUUUCCUCCCCAAUAGACUAUAUUGAACCAGGGGGAACCGCGUUAGCAUUAUUUCCCCCUGCUCGGUCUAUAUUUCAAAGCGAAGUCACUAGCCAUGAGGCAAGGCAGCCCAAUCAAGCAGCUACGAUGUUUUGUUGCUAACGCCUAGUUGUCGGAUAUGUAGCUUGCCUCGCUCUCUCAUCUUCCUCGUCAUGAUAACCUUCGUAGUCUUUUUUUGAAGUCAAGAGUAAGCUUUACAAAUUUAAAAAGCCGUGGAAGUCUCGUCAAUUUAUUAUUCUGUUUGCCGGGGGUGCAUUAUCCAUCAAUAUAUAGCUGGUUCUUUACAAUUAUUAUGAAAACGACUUGAAAAAUCAAAAAAUGAUUUCCACAAAACAAUAACUAGUUCCGAAAUGAUACAAAAAAGUUCUCAAUAAAGUUAUUUUUUAAUUAAAUCAAGAUUAAUGUUAUAAAAAAGUUAUCAUAAAUCACUAUUUCUUAGUAUAUUUAUUCAAGAAAAUUAUCCAAAAGUUCCGUUAAAAUGUAUUUACCGCACGAAAGAAAUCAUUAAUAUAAAAGUUACAUUUUAUGUAUUUAAUUUUAAUUUUU
Cinara cedri is the source of this 688-nucleotide non-coding RNA. NCBI's taxonomy places the organism in Eukaryota, Metazoa, Arthropoda, Insecta, Hemiptera, Aphididae. The record is from the annotation of a GenBank genome assembly.